Molecule: non-coding RNA, 2628 nt
Organism: Arachis ipaensis
Lineage: Eukaryota; Viridiplantae; Streptophyta; Magnoliopsida; Fabales; Fabaceae
Source: RefSeq, a predicted model, not a curated record
AGAAAAAGAAAAUGACACUUUACUAAUUGAAAAAAUUGACACUGAAAAAUUUCUUCUUCUUCAACCUAGCGUCCUUCUAACAGCCAUUUACAAUGGUAACUUUCUUGCACUCAAAGACCUUACUACUAGCUCUCUAAGAACUUCAGGUUCAAACCAGGAUUUGAUUUCUGAACUACUAUUCUUAUUGUCUUCGGGAAUUUCUUCAACUUGGUAUCAGCUCAAUCGAUCUGAUAACCAUCUCAAGGUAUUGCUCUUGAGAUGUCAGAAAAUACAUGUUUGGAGUUUUCUACUCUAGUAGCAGUAGGUAUAGUAGAAUUAGAUGCGCUAUUAUUUCCUAUAUUAAUAGCAUGUAGCAGAUUUUGUUGUUAUAUAUGUGAAUUUGCCACCCCAGAAAUAGGUACAUUGACAUGACAUACAAAUUCUGGUAAAGAGGAUUUUAAAAAGUUGAGUAGAGAGGCACAAGUAAUCUUUGGGUCACCAUGGGGGACAUACCUCGGUGGCAAGCCAUAAGGCGGCCACCCCACGGUAUUUAUGUGAGUUGCAUUUAAUUUUGGAUAGGCAUGGCCAACACCAUCAUGCCUCACUAACGGCAAGGUAGGCUCUGCGUUUGAAAUCACAUGAGAAUUUCUAGACUCAUUUCCUCUAGUCUCGUCACUGGAAGUAGAAGAUGUUGCAUAUGUAUUUGACAUGCCAACUGACACUGAUUUCUUAAUCUUUAAAAACACGAUCUUACUACUACGUAACCACGUGCAAAUUCAAAACUCCUAAUUUUUUUCUUUUGACAAACUACAAUCUAUUGACAAUGUCCUAUCAGGCGUGCCAAUUUGUUUUACUCAAAUUUUGUUAAUGUUUAAAAGAAAAUAUGGGUAUCUUAAUGUUGCAAUUAUAACAUCAAUAGAAAUUAAAAGGUAUGAAAUUAGCAAAUAAACAAAGAAAUAUAAGAUGUCGAAAGAAAAGUAAAUUGCAAAAAUUAAAAGAAAUAGAAAAUUAAAGAACGAAUGAAGAAGGAAAGAUAAGCAUAAAAGAGAAGAACAUGUAAAAGUAGAAAAAUUUUAUUAAUAAAAACUAGAAAGAAGCAAAUUACAAGUGUUUGAGUUCAGAGGAAUUAUUUAAGAUUUCUAAUUUUUACUCUGUGAUGUCAAGGGACUGAGAGCAUUUUAAGUUUCUAAAUGUUUUCCAAAAGAACUGAACUCCCUACAAUAUUUGCUUAAAACUCUGUUUAUAGACUAAUCUAAUGUCUAAUUGACAGUUAUUUCUAUAAUAUCUUUGUCAAUUUUUUUCUAAACUUGAAUUAACUAUUGUUCUGCUCUAAUUUCUUUGACGACCGUUUUGCAUUGUACUUUGACGCCUCAUGUUGAUAACUGCUCCGGCACAUAGCAUAUCUUAUAAUUCAGGCCUAAAUCAAAUUUUGAAUAAAACCUGCUCCUUUUGAAAACAUUAAUUAAAACCUUUCCCUAAUAUAUUAAAACUGACUUCAUAAAUCGAUAACAAUAUUUUAUAUUUAUUUAUUUAAAACAACGUUUUUUCUAAUAAUAAUAUUUUUUGCCUAGCAGUAGAAGAUCCCCGUUCCAAACAAAAUCAUCUCUUAAAGGUUUUGACUACUUUAAGAACUGAUUUUCAAGUAGGAGAAGUUGCCAUUACAACCUUAACUUCAAAAUAAUUUGCUCUCUGAGGUAUUUGCUUAACAUAAUAUGUACCCAUAAUGUAUCCUUAUGAUGAAGAAAUUUCCAAACUAAUUUUCAACAAGAGCAACAUUCACAUUCCGAGAAUCUCUUAGGCUAAUCCUCUAUAUCUCUUAGGAGUGGUGAGAACUUUUCAAGAAGUUGGACGCAAACCGCAAGACUUAUUACUCUACACAAAAUGCCUUAUAACUUUGUCAAUCUCAUGCCAUACCAUUUAGGAAAAAAAAAUGUUAUCUGCAUCUUAUAUACUGAUACAGAAGCAAUGGGUAUAAUUAAACAUUGAUAUAGGUACUCUAACUUUAUUAAGAAUCUUGUUAACAAAUAGCUUAUUAAGGGUAUUCUUUCUGUAAGUUCUUAAUUCAUUGAAAGUGUCAAAAUGUUUUAUUUUAAACAUUUUAAACUAAUAUCUUAGGAUACUAUUUAGCUCAUUCCAAAUUGAAAUUGUAUAACCCUACAAAUACAAAUACAAAUAAAAUUCUCCACAAAUCAAUUUUUAUUACUAUUUUACGAAUUUUUUAAUAGAUAAUUUAUAUUGUCCCAAAAUAAAAACGUUAGGAUUGAAGUGUCCAUUUUCUUUUGAUAAGAAAUCGCAUUUUCCUUAAUGAAAAUAGACAGGGCCGAAUUAAAGCUUUACUCUUCCAAAAUAAAUAAAAGUCAUGCACAGAUAUGAACCUGACAUUGUUUUAAAGAAAAAAUAAAUAUAAUUGAAGUCUGCAUCAAUUGAGUCUGUGUAUGUAUGUCUUCCCCCACGUUAAAGUGGGUGUCAUUACGGAAUCUCUCCCUGAAAAUGCAUGCAAUUUACUCAAACGAAAAUAAUAUAAAAUAAAAGAAGAAAAAAUCACUAGUUCUAAAAUGGAAGCUGUACUUAUUAUUCACUUGGCAUUUGGCAACUGCACAAAAGGAUGUAGUGGUCCCGGGGAAUGAACAAAAAUUACAAGGAAAAAGA